UGGUGGAGUGAUUUGUCUGGUUAAUUCCGUUAACGAACGAGACCUCAGCCUACUAAAUAGUCGCGCGAACAUACGUGUUCGUAGUUCGACUUCUUAGAGGGACUGUCUGUUCUAACAGAAGGAAGUUGAGGCAAUAACA
RNAcentral lists this ribosomal RNA (139 nucleotides) under uncultured eukaryote. RNAcentral's name for it is "partial 18S ribosomal RNA". It matches the Rfam family "Eukaryotic small subunit ribosomal RNA", at positions 1299 to 1458 of the family's 1831-position model. The record is from RNAcentral.